UAGGGAAUCUUCGGCAAUGGACGAAAGUCUGACCGAGCAACGCCGCGUGAGUGAAGAAGGUUUUCGGAUCGUAAAACUCUGUUGUUAGAGAAGAACAAGGACGUUAGUAACUGAACGUCCCCUGACGGUAUCUAACCAGAAAGCCACGGCUAACUACGUGCCAGCAGCCGCGGUAAUACGUAGGUGGCAAGCGUUGUCCGGAUUUAUUGGGCGUAAAGCGAGCGCAGGCGGUUUCUUAAGUCUGAUGUGAAAGCCCCCGGCUCAACCGGGGAGGGGCAUUGGAAACUGGGAGACUUGAGUGCAGAAGAGGGGGGUGGAAUUCCAUGUGUAGCGGUGAAAUGCGUAGAUAUAUGGAGGAACACCAGUGGCGAAGGCGGCUCUCUGGUCUGUAACUGACGCUGAGGCACGAAAGCGUGGGGAGCAAACAGG
This 429-nucleotide ribosomal RNA is filed under the name Gemmatimonadota bacterium. RNAcentral describes it as "Gemmatimonadetes bacterium partial 16S ribosomal RNA". It matches the Rfam family "Bacterial small subunit ribosomal RNA", at positions 355 to 776 of the family's 1533-position model. Lineage: Bacteria; Pseudomonadati; Gemmatimonadota. The record is from RNAcentral.